UUAGUUAAGGUAUUAGCAUCUGGCCUCUCCUAUUUUCAAUUUAAAAGCUUAUUUAUUACUAGUGUUAUUUGACUAAACAAUCGCACAACCUUAGCCUUGGCCACCGGAUAAACUAAUAUCGGCCUAUAUUAACAACUCUACUACCAGAAGCUUAAGCACAUGGUGGCGGAUAAGAUACACGCCAGGGCUAAAGGGUCCAGGGCUGUACACUAUGCAAAUCACUGAGAAUGCACGUCAACAUCAGAACGUGUCUCUGGACGGCAUGCGAGUUAUGUCAUGAAAUUAUACACUUAUUAAUUAUGUAAUGGCGGUUUGCUAAAAUAUAAACUUAUUAUGGAGAAGGUUAGAAAGUGUGGAAAAUUUUUUUGGAAUUUUUUUAUUGUAGAAUAUAUUUCGCAGUGUUCAUUAUUGA
Molecule: long non-coding RNA, 412 nt
Organism: Gordionus sp. m RMFG-2023
Lineage: Eukaryota; Metazoa; Nematomorpha; Gordioida; Chordodea; Parachordodidae
Exons: 3
Source: RefSeq, a predicted model, not a curated record